RNAcentral lists this ribosomal RNA (38 nucleotides) under Pucciniastrum areolatum. RNAcentral's name for it is "partial 28S ribosomal RNA". The record is from RNAcentral. Lineage: Eukaryota; Fungi; Basidiomycota; Pucciniomycetes; Pucciniales; Pucciniastraceae.
UAGACCUCAAAUCAGGUGGGACUACCCGCUGAACUUAA